CGCGUAGGUGGUAGUGCAAGUCUGGGGUGGAAUCUUAGGGCUUAACCCUAAAACUGCCUUGGAAACUGCAUUACUUGAGUCAGUGAGGGGAGGGUAGAAUUCCUGGUGUAGCGGUGAAAUGCGUAGAUAUCAGGAGGAAGGCCUGUGGCGAAGGCGGCCCUCUGGCGCUGAACUGACACUGAGGCGCGAAAGCGUGGGUAGCAAACAGGAUUAGAUACCCUGGUAGUCCACGCCCUAAACGGUGGGUACUAGGUGUAGGGCUCGUAAGGGUUCUGUGCCGAAGGGAAACCAUUAAGUACCCCGCCUGGGGAUACGGCCGCAAGGUUGAA
RNAcentral lists this ribosomal RNA (329 nucleotides) under uncultured bacterium. RNAcentral's name for it is "bacterial SSU rRNA". It matches the Rfam family "Bacterial small subunit ribosomal RNA", at positions 568 to 898 of the family's 1533-position model. The record is from RNAcentral.